RNAcentral lists this ribosomal RNA (234 nucleotides) under uncultured bacterium. RNAcentral's name for it is "partial 16S ribosomal RNA". It matches the Rfam family "Bacterial small subunit ribosomal RNA", at positions 99 to 334 of the family's 1533-position model. The record is from RNAcentral.
CGGACGGGGGAGUAAUGUCUGGGAAACGUGCCUGAUGGAGGGGGAUAACUACUGGAAACGGUAGCUAAUACCGCAUAACGUCGCAAGACCGAAAGAGGGGGACCUUAGGGCCUCUUGCCAUCGGAUGUGCCCAGAUGGGAUUAGCUAGUAGGUGGGGUAACGGCUCACCUAGGCGACGAUCCCUAGCUGGUCUGAGAGGAUGACCAGCCACACUGGAACUGAGACACGGUCCAG